AAUUUUGCGCAAUGGGCGGAAGCCUGACGCAGCGACGCCGCGUGAGGGAUGAAGGCCUUCGGGUUGUAAACCUCUUUCAGCAGGGACGAAGCGUAAGUGACGGUACCUGCAGAAGAAGCGCCGGCUCACUACGUGCCAGCAGCCGCGGUAAUACGUAGGGCGCAAGCGUUGUCCGGAAUUAUUGGGCGUAAAGAGCUCGUAGGUGGUUUGUCGCGUCUGUCGUGAAAGCCCAUGGCUUAACUGUGGGUCUGCGGUGGAUACGGGCAGGCUAGAGGCAGGUAGGGGAGAACGGAAUUCCCGGUGUAGCGGUGAAAUGCGCAGAUAUCGGGAGGAACACCGGUGGCGAAGGCGGUUCUCUGGGCCUGUACUGACGCUGAGGAGCGAAAGCGUGGGGAGCGAAC
This 401-nucleotide ribosomal RNA is filed under the name uncultured bacterium. Its description in RNAcentral is "bacterial SSU rRNA". It matches the Rfam family "Bacterial small subunit ribosomal RNA", at positions 360 to 773 of the family's 1533-position model. The record is from RNAcentral.